UGCCUAAGACAUGCAAGUCGUACGAGGUGGCCCUUUGACAUUUGUGCUUGCACAAAUUGAUUAGGAAUUUCCACCUAGUGGCGAAAGGGUGAGUAACACGUGGGUUAUCUACCUCAGAGACUGGGAUAACUACUAGAAAUGGUAGCUAAUACUGGAUGAUAUAUAUAAUGAUACGUUAUUAUAUAUUAAAAGGAGCCUUUAAAGCUUCACUUUGAGAUGAGCCUGCGACGUAUUAGCUAGUUGGUAAGGUAAUGGCUUACCAAGGCAACGAUGCGUAGCCGACCUGAGAGGGUGAUCGGCCACAUUGGGACUGAGACACGGCCCAAACUCCUACGGGAGACAGCAGUUAGGGAUAUUCGUCAAUGGAGGAAACUCUGAACGAGCAAUGCCGCGUGAGUGAUGACAGUUCUUUGGAUUGUAAAACUCUGUUGUUAGGGAAGAACGACCAGUAUAGGAAAUGAUACUGGAGUGACAGUACCUUUCAAGAAAGCUCCGGCUAACUACGUGCCAGCCGCGGC
Molecule: ribosomal RNA, 518 nt
Filed under: uncultured bacterium
Lineage: Bacteria
Description: bacterial SSU rRNA
Rfam family: Bacterial small subunit ribosomal RNA
Source: RNAcentral